ACGGGUGAGUAAUACGUAGGAAUCUGCCUAAUGGAGUGGGAUAACCUAGGGAAACUUAGGGUAAUACCGCAUAAGCCUUACGAGGUAAAGCAGGGGAUCGCAAGACCUUGCGCUGUUAGAUGAGCCUACGUCGGAUUAGCUAGUUGGUGGGGUAAAGGCCUACCAAGGCGACGAUCCGUAGCUGGUCUGAGAGGACGACCAGCCACACUGGGACUGAGACACGGCCCAGACUCCUACGGGAGGCAGCAGUGGGGAAUAUUGGACAAUGGGCGGAAGCCUGAUCCAGCAAUGCCGCGUGUGUGAAGAAGGCCUGCGGGUUGUAAAGCACUUUCAGUGGGGAGGAGAGGCUCUUGGCUAAUACCCAAGGGAAGAGACGUUACCCACAGAAGAAGCACCGGCUAACUCUGUGCCAGCAGCCGCGGUAAUACAGAGGGUGCAAGCGUUAAUCGGAAUUACUGGGCGUAAAGGGUGCGUAGGUGGUUUGAUAAGUUGGGUGUGAAAGUCCUGGGCUCAACCUGGGGACUGCGCUCAAUACUGUUAAGCUAGAGUACUGUAGAGGAAGGUGGAAUUUCCAGUGUAGCGGUGA
This 586-nucleotide ribosomal RNA is filed under the name uncultured bacterium. RNAcentral's name for it is "bacterial SSU rRNA". It matches the Rfam family "Bacterial small subunit ribosomal RNA", at positions 102 to 684 of the family's 1533-position model. The record is from RNAcentral.